CGAAAAUCGAGUAGGGUUAUUGUUGGUGUCCUUGACUCAAGAAAGUUAGUUUUCAAUAUUUAUUAUUAAAAUUUUGAGAACUCGGCGUGAUGAAUCAAAGAAUGUCUAGCACUUCCACUAUGACUUAAGAUUAGAUUGAGGAGACCUAUUAAGAAUAGAAUUUCUUGUAGGCUUUAUGGACCAAGGGGAUUAGCGCUGCUUUCCCGAGACGAGUUUGUGUGAUUUUGAAUCUUCAGGCUUUGCCUAACCAGGUUGGCUGGCUGGUGCUGACGGGACGGAGCUGAGGCUAGGGUUAAUUUCCUAUGUUAGACUUCCGCUGUAGCAAUUACUCAUAUCUGUCUUUUGUUUUUCCCAACUUAAGAUCUUCAUGUUAAAUUUCAAAUGAUAUACCUGACCGAGCUUAGACUCUUCACUACCAAGUUUAUGCUAAUGAAUGUCGGUUGUCAGAAGCAUGAAACAAAACUUGUGAUCCAAAGGGGCAUAGCCCGACUUUCUAUCUUAUUUCGGUUUUAACAAGGUUUUUCCUUUGUUUA
This is a long non-coding RNA of Salvia miltiorrhiza (redroot sage), 533 nucleotides long. RefSeq lists it as uncharacterized. The record is from RefSeq and is a predicted model, not a curated record. Lineage: Eukaryota; Viridiplantae; Streptophyta; Magnoliopsida; Lamiales; Lamiaceae. The transcript is spliced from 2 exons.